Chenopodium quinoa (quinoa) is the source of this 954-nucleotide long non-coding RNA. RefSeq lists it as uncharacterized. The transcript has 3 exons. The record is from RefSeq and is a predicted model, not a curated record. Lineage: Eukaryota; Viridiplantae; Streptophyta; Magnoliopsida; Caryophyllales; Amaranthaceae.
UUGCAUCACUUCAUUCUUUAUUGAGUGACGCAAAUGACUACUCUAUUUAACCCACUUAGCGCUUCUUCCCCUUAAGAACUCCGUAUAAAAAACCUCUAGCUGCCUUGCCGCUGUUUGAACUUCAAAACCCUAGCAAAUUCUACAACAAACCCCCAAAUUUCAACAGCAAAAGUGAAAAACCUCCGGAAAUUCAACCAACCUUACCGGAAUUCGACCUAAAAUCAACAAAUUUGGCCACUAAGAGAAAACCCCCAUCAAAUCCAAGCCCGAACCCUCCAUUUUCGAGCAAAAAUCAACCCGAAACCCCCCACGAAAUUUUGAAUUAGUAUAAAAAUUGCAGAUGUUCGAGAAAAAAUACCCUAAAUCGAACAAAUAACGACUGAAAAUCAAAUGAAAAGCUGAUAUUAAUUUUUCCCCCAAAAAUCUGAAUAAAUUUGAGCAAUAACGACUCGGUUCUCUUGCAUUUAGACUCUACAUUUGGUGAAUUUGUGAAGUCGAUUUUACCCAAGGUGCAGCAGAUGGUUGGUGGUUAGUGGCGGUGGUGUGGCUUGGUACAGCGGCAAUUUGUUGCGGAGAGCUUUUUUGUUGUUGAGGUGUUUGUGAAUUGCAGGGGAGAAGGUAUUUUUAGAACACUUAUACUGGGGAGGAGAUAAAUGUGGUUCAAGAUAUUUGGUCAGACGAUUUUAUGAUCAAUGUUGAAAUUUAGAAUUUAACUUAGCUAACUCCAUUUAUGUGUUAGACUUUUUUGUUUAGUUCUUAGGCUUGAAAUGAAUGUAAUUGGGUUACCAACAUUUUGGGUUUGUCUUUGUUCUUGUGUUGGUUAAUGAUACCAAUAAUUUUGAGUUGUAAACUUUUUGACAGGAUAUUAGUGUAUACAUUGCCGUCAUUCCCAAAUUUAUGGGUUGGCCAAAAUACAAAGGAAACUCUGCCGAAAUGUAUACGUGAUUUGAUUAA